AGCCUCGUGAGCGAGGGGCGGUCUCGCGC
Molecule: small RNA, 29 nt
Filed under: Bombyx mori (domestic silkworm)
Lineage: Eukaryota; Metazoa; Arthropoda; Insecta; Lepidoptera; Bombycidae
Description: ovarian small RNA-12093
Source: RNAcentral